Molecule: long non-coding RNA, 2967 nt
Filed under: Sus scrofa (pig)
Lineage: Eukaryota; Metazoa; Chordata; Mammalia; Artiodactyla; Suidae
Description: lncRNA (ENSSSCG00065036563.1, ENSSSCG00110005048.1)
Source: RNAcentral
GCAACAUAGGGCCGGAGAGUUAAAACAUUAAAGGAAAAUAAAAUAAGCUACACUUUUGCAGAAAUGCAUUUGAGGGGCAUAUCAUAAGUUUUUGUAGAAUCAGAAAUGUAUACCUGGGGCAUAUCUAUUUUACAAAUGUAGUGCCCUGGAGGCAUUUCUUACUGUCUUUUCCCCCACAAGUCCAACAACUUGCUAAAUGCUGCUCCUGCUUCCUCCUGCACAACUUCUCUUGGAUGUGAUACUUGCAUCUUUGAUGCCAAGUUAAUUAUCCAAAUUCCAGUUGUUUCUCACUUGUGUUAUGGUAUAUAUCCUAAUGUUCCUGCCUGUUUUGUUCUCAUUUCAGGAAGUUUUAGGAUCUUGUAUCUCAUUUUUCUUACAGUAGCAUGUACUGUCUUAAUUCAUUUUUUUGAUUAGGCUUCUCUAACUUUCCAUGUCAUACACACCUAUUUAGUGUGAUUUGAAGACAAAGGAUAUAUUAUGCUCUAGUAUAAUUUAUUUAUAGCUGACUUUCAUUCUUCUAAUCACUGAACCAGUUAUUUCUUUUGGAAGUAUAUUUGACACAAAUGUGAGAUCAAUCUCUUGUGCCUUGAUAUUUGCUUGGAUUAUGUCUUUAGUCUCAGGUUUUUAUUUUUUCCAUCACAGCUGGUUUACAGUGUUCUGUCAACUUUCUACUGUAUAGCAAGGUGACCCAGUCAUACAUACAUAUGUACAUUCUUUUUCUCACAUUUUCAUGCUCCAUCAUAAGUGAGUAGAUAUAGUUCCCAGUGCUAUACAUCAGGAUUUCAUUGCUUAUCCAUUCCAAAGGCAAUAGUUGGCAUUUAUGAACCCCCAAAAUUCUCAGUCCAUCCCACUCCCUCCUCUUCCCCCUUGGCAACCACAAGUCUCUUCUCCAUGUCCAUGAUUUUCUUUUCUGUGAAAAGGUUCAUUUGUGCCAUAUAUUAGAUUCCAGAUAUAAGUGAUAUCAUAUGGUAUUUGUCUUUCUCUUUCUGACUUACCUUAGUAUAAGAGUCUCUAGUUCCAUCCAUGUUGCUGCAAAUGGCAUUAUUUUGUUGUUUUUAUGGCUGGGUAGUAUUCCACUGUGUAUAUAUACCACAUCUUCUUAAUUAAAAAAAUACAAAGUAUUCAAUGAAAGAAAAGAUAAUCUACAAGUGCCAGGAAUUGAGAGAAAUAAAGGCAGAGUUUUAAAUGGAAGCCAUGCCGAUGAAAAUUCACAUAGGUUUUAGGCAUCAUACAGGCCCUAUGGGCUGAGAAUUUUAUACCUACAUAAGGAUGAGAGCCAUGUCAUUUGAUCUACAUACGCUGGAGAGCUGCUACUGAGUACCUAGCUUAAAAAACAAACAAAAACAACUUCUUUGAAAAUCGUACUCUCCUUGCAAAAAUAGGACUAGAAACAUCCUGCACCAGCCUUGGGAAGGAGAUUGAAAGUUUGCUCUCUGUUUGGAACUCUAAGUGGAAAAAAAUACUAGUGAGAAACUGAAACCCAAAGUUUAUGCCAAAUGGGGUCACAAUUGAUAUUUCCUAAAUGGUAUGGGAAAUACAAGCUGAGAAAAUGAAAUAAAAGCUAGUCGAUGGCUAUUAAAAUCUAUUGUAUUCUGUCAGAAAAAAAGUACUAAAUUGAUCUGUCAGGAUAAUUUCACAACUCAGGGACCAUACAACUCAUGGAAAAUACAAACUGAUUGAAGGUAAACUUACAAUCAAAAGUUACAAACUACUUUAGCAAAUGAACCAUUAUGAGGGAGAGUAAGAAGGCAUAGCAAAUAGGAGGAGCAAACACUCUCAAGAAUAGAAAAUAAUAAGCAAUCUGUAAGAGAUUAUAAAUAAGUAUAUUUAAGUUGUUUAAAACAUAAAGAUGGAACAGAAACCACAAUGAAAAAAGAAUAUGAUAAAGUAUAAAAAGAUAAGUUUAAUAUAUAAGGAGACGUAGAAAUUGUGGUUUAUUUGAGGAAAUCAUCUCAGUGAAGUAAAGACUAGCACAGAGAAAUAAAGAUAUGAAUGAUAAUAAAAAGCAGUUGACAGAAAUAAAGGAUAGAACAUGGAGAUUAAAUAUAUAUGUCAUGGGAAUCUCAGUGAUGAAAAUAGAGAAAAUGGAAAAAUAACAAUAUUAAAAUAAUUUAUUGGUUGAGAAUUUACCUAAUGUAAAGAAGACAAGCUAUGAAAUCAAAAUAGCAUAGAAUAAAAUCAGGUUCCCACCCAGAAAUAUCAGUGAAAUUAUAGAAUUUGAAGUAACUUCUGUGGCCCAGUGGGCUAAGAAUCUGACUGCAGAGGCUUAGGUUGCUGUGGAAGUGCAGAUUAGAUCCCUGACUAGGCACAAUGGGUUAAAAGGAUCCGGUGUUGGAGAAGCUGUUGUGUAGGUCACAGUUGCAGCUCAGAUUCAGUCCAUAUGCAAUGGGUGCAGCCAUAAAUAUAUAUAUAUAUGUAUAUGGAAUACAAAAGGCAAAGAAAUAUUAAAAACAACCAGUGAGAAGGACUAAUUAUGUACAAAGUAUCAUUCAAGUCUGAGGAAAUAAUUAAAGACAUUUUAAGAUAGAUAAGAAUUCAGAGUAUACCACUCGUCAUCCACUGAAAAGAGAAUUAUUAGAAGACAUUUAAACCGAGAAGAAAGAAAGGGAAUGUGAGAAGCAAAUGGAAUCAAAGAAGUUGGUGAAUAUGUGGCUUAACCUAAAUAAAGAAUUCAUGUUUUAAAAUGCUUAAAUUUUGGAAGGUUUAAAAAUAAAGUGGAAUUGAAAUACCAGAUAAAAAUAACAUGAAAGAUGGGAAAGAAGAGUUCAGAGUUGUUUUUUAUGGUUCUUGUAUAUAAUGGUGCUGGAUAAAGAUAUUAUUUUUCUUAUGUUAAAUUUGUAUGCUAAGUUUUUUUUUUUGGUAUAACUACUAGAAGAAUAGAAAUAGAUAUGUAAUACAAAAUAAUAGAAGUGGAAAAAAUAGAUUACCUGAGUAACUUGAUUAUGCCAAGGAUAAAUAUAAAACAGG